RNAcentral lists this ribosomal RNA (253 nucleotides) under uncultured bacterium. Its description in RNAcentral is "partial 16S ribosomal RNA". It matches the Rfam family "Bacterial small subunit ribosomal RNA", at positions 524 to 776 of the family's 1533-position model. The record is from RNAcentral.
UACGUAGGGGGCGAGCGUUGUCCGGAGUUACUGGGCGUAAAGCGCACGCAGGCGGUCUGCUAAGUUUGGAGUGACAGUUGGUGGCUUAACUGCCAAAGUGCUUCGAAAACUGACAGACUUGAGGGCUUCAGAGGGACACGGAAUUCCGGGUGGAGUGGUGAAAUGCGUAGAGAUCCGGAGGAACACCAAAGGCGAAGGCAGUGUCCUGGGGAGUACCUGACGCUGAGGAGCGAAAGUGUGGGGAGCGAACAGG